UAUCUUGAUGGGAAUCAGCUCAGUGGUCAACUUCCUGCAACUCUGUCCUUAUGUGGAGAGCUUUUGUCACUAUCACUAUUUUACAACAAAUUCGCAGGAAGCAUACCAAGAGAAAUUGGCAACUUAUCCAAGCUUGAAUAUAUUAAUCUCAGAAGGAAUAGCUUCGCAGGUAGCAUUCCACCUUCAUUUGGUAAUAUCCCCAAGGAGUUGGGGAAUCUCAUCAACUUACAAUUCUUGGAUCUUUGCGACAACAAUUUAAUGGGGAUAGUACCAGAAGCUAUUUUUAACAUCUCUAAGCUGCAGAUCCUUUCGCUGGUACUAAAUCACCUUUCAGGCAGUCUCCCAUCAGGUAUUGGCACUUGGCUCCCGGAUCUUGAAGGGCUUUAUAUAGGUGCCAAUCAAUUUAGUGGAAUAAUUCCAUUGUCUAUUUCAAAUGUCAAAGCUAACAAUCCUAAGCAUGAGCAAUAACUUCUUCACUGGAUAUGUGCCAAAGGAUCUAGGUAACUUGAGACGACUCCAGUGGCUCCACCUUUCAGGAAACCAAUUGACUGAUGAACACUCAACCUCUGAGCUUGCCUUUCUUACAUCAUUAACGAAUUGCAACUCUUUGAGAAAAUUGUGGAUCAGUGGUAAUCCUUUAAAAGGCAUUAUUCCAAAUUCAUUAGGGAAUCUCUCAAUUUCUUGAAAGUAUUUACGCGGGUGACUGCCAACUCAGAGGCACAAUCCCUACAGGGAUUAGAAUUUGAUCAACUUGAUUGAUUUGACACUCAAUGAUAAUGACUUGAUAGGGUUCAUUCCAACAUCAUCUGGACUCCUACAGAAGCUGCAGUUUUUAGCUAUCCCUGGAAAUCGAAUACACGGAUCCAUUCCUCGUGGUCUAUGCCAUUUGACAAACUUGGGAUACUUGGAUUUGAGUUCGAAUAAACUUCCUGGAACAAUCCCUAGCUACUUUGGGAAUCUUACUAGACUGCGGAACAUCUACUCCAGUGGACUAGCUCCUGAGAUACCUUCAUCUCUGUGGACCCUUAGAGAUCACUUGAUUCUUAACUUGUCUUCAAACUUCCUCAACAGCCAACUACCCCUGGAAGUUGGGAACAUGAAGUCCUUACUGGUAUUGGACCUGUCAAAGAACCAAUUUUCAGGAAACAUCCCAAGCACCAUAUCACUUCUUCAAAACCUGCUCCAACUUUUCCUAUCCCAUAACAAGCUACAAGGUCAUAUGCCCCCCAAUCUUGGUGAUUUGGUGAGCUUGGAAUAACUGGAUCUGUCUGGGAACAAUUUAUCUGGUUCUAUUCCCAAGUCACUAGAGGCUCUGAAAUAUCUCAAAUACCUAAAUGUUUCUUUCAAUAAAGUACAAGGAGAGAUUCCAAACGGAGGACCCUUUGCAAACUUCACUGCUGAAUCUUUCAUCUCCAACCUAGCACUUUGUGGAGCACCUCGAUUUCAAGUCAUGGUACUUGAGAAAGAUACUAGAAGGAACACAAAAUCACUCCUCUUGAAAUGUAUUGUCCCUCUGAGUGUAUCAUUAUCAGCAAUAAUAUUAGUGAUUCUCUUUAUUCUAUGGAAGCGAAGACACACCAAGUCAGGAACUCCGGUUCAAGUUGAUUUGCCGCUUCCCAGAAUGCAUAGAAUGAUUCCACAUCAAGAACUCCUUUAUGCAACCAGCUACUUUGGUGAAGACAAUUUGAUUGGAAAAGGAAGCUUAGGAAUGGUAUAUAAAGGGGUACUAUCCGAUGGGUUGAUUGUUGCUGUGAAGGUUUUCAAUUUGGAAUUGCAGGGAGCUUUCAAGAGUUUUGAGGUAGAAUGUGAAGUAAUGCGGAAUAUUCGCCAUCGAAAUCUUGCCAAGAUAAUUAGUAGUUGCUCCAACUUGGACUUCAAAGCGUUGGUGCUUGAGUAUAUGCCUAAUGGGAGCUUAGAGAAGUGGUUGUACUCUCACAAAUACUACUUGGAUUUUGUCCAACGAUUAAAAAUUAUGAUAGAUGUGGCAUCAGGGUUGGAGUAUCUCCAUCAUGAUUACUCAAAUCCUGUGGUUCACUGUGACUUGAAGCCCAGCAAUGUCUUGUUAGAUGAUGACAUGGUUGCACACAUAAGUGAUUUCGGCAUUGCAAAACUGUUGAUUGGAAAUGAGUUUAUGAAGCGAACCAAAACCUUGGGCACCAUAGGCUAUAUGGCACCAGGUAAAGUUUCCUACAACUUCAACACAUUCUUAUGCCAUUUCUUUUCUCUCUCAACUAGCUGGUUUUCCAUAAUGAACAACUAAUAUUACAUGCAGGGAGUAGGUUAGAGGAUAAGUUAUUGUAAGUAUUCUAGGCUUUUUAAAUUGUUUUCAAUCCUUUGAAAAAUGGAGAGGUAGUCAUUGGAUCUUUACAAACGUCUUACAUGAUCAUUUUUGACCUCUUGAUACUUAAUUAAUAUUUUUUUUUAAAAGAAGAUUGUUUUUUUAUUAAUUAUUUAUCUUUAUGUCAUUGUUUCUUUGUUCAUUUUACUAAUGGAAACUAAUAAGCAUGCAGAGUAUGGCUCAGAGGGAAUAGCAUCCACAAAAGGUGACAUAUAUAGUUAUGGGAUCAUGCUGAUGGAAACUUUUGUUGGGAAGAAGCCUACUGAUGAAAUGUUCAUGGAGGAACUAACCUUGAAGAGUUGGGUGGAGUCAUCAACCAACAACAUAAUGGAGGUUAUAGAUGCCAAUCUCCUGACAAAAGAAGAUGAAAGUUUUGCCUUAAAACAAGCUUGUUUUUCUUCCAUCAUGACAUUAGCUUUAGAUUGUGCAGCUGAGCCUCCUGAGAAGAGGAUUAACAUGAAAGAUGUGGUGGUUAGACUCAAGAAGCUCUUGAAUCAAAUUGUUGAUUUAAAGACUCCAUAAUUAAAAAGAAGGCAUGGAGAUUAUGUUCCUUUCUUCCACCCUGAGCUUAUUUAAGAGUUCACAAAUCAAGAACUGAGGGACCAUUAAGCAUGGCCUGCCAGGUGGUUGAAAGUUCCUUAUUAUAUCAACUCUAUGCAAAUUAUGCUCAAAUGUGUGUGUAGUUCCAUCUAUUUUCCCCAAUGUAAUUCAGCUUGAAUAAUGCCAUGAAUCCGAAUGCUUUUACUUCGUAUUUUCCCAUUAGCAUGAUAUUAAGUGAAGGUUCCAGUGAGUAACUUCUAGAAGAACAUUUCAUGCUUUUCUUUUUAAGAUAUGAUAGACUUUAAUAAAUUAUUUGUCUAUGAUUGAUCACUUCAGCAAAUUGUCUAGUCAAAAUUGACCUCUACUUGUGGAUAUAUCUUACUUAAUUUCUUAUAACUUGCAAUUACUUCCCGAUUGUGUAUAAUUGGAUUUGGCUUAUUUCAAAAUCAUGGCUCAUGAGAAUUAAGAAGUUCAAGAAUUCAUAUUCAAAUGCGCCUUUCAUCUUCCAAACAUGUUUUAUGGUUUGAAAAGAAAAUAAUAUAAAUUGACAACAAUCAGCUAUUGAAAGAAUAGAGUAAAAGUGGUGUUCGUUUUACUCCAUGAGAGAUAUGACAUGAUCAAUAUUUAUCAUGUAAUCUGAACAAUUUUGAUUUUGUGUUUGUAUUCGUGAGAAUUGAGAUCUCAAAUUGGAAAAAUAAUUUAGUAAAAUGUUAAAAAAGAAAAAGAAAAAAAAGGUUGUUGCUCACGAAUUACUUGAUAGACGUUAAGAUUACUCACUGCUCUCACUGAUCUCACUGGUGUAACGGCUGCUGCUUGCUGCUGUACUUCAGAAGUUGUUGUGCUUCUAAAGUUAGGUAGUUUGUUAGAUUUUGUUAGAUUAGUUAGACUUUUGCACAAUGGAAAAUUCUACGGCACCGAAGUGGGUACCGCAGCUGCAAAAUUCUUGUCCGUUGGAUUAAAAGCUUCCAAUCAAGACUGAAUGCCUUUGCCCCACUUAGCUGGACUGCACCAUCGUAUUGCCUCUUCUUGAAUACGCUUUGCUUGACCAACUUUUCAGGUUUCUUUCUCGGUUUUGGUAGGACUGCACUGUCGUUGCCCCUGCUUGCCCUCCACGCACUUUUUUCCAAGGAGGUGGUUUCCGACCAAUCUCUUUCUUCUUGAAUACACCAUUAUAUCGUGAUAUGCGGGCAGAUCCAUAUGCAAAUUGAGUUUUGUCUCCUGUGGAAUGUGGACUACAGCACCGUGAUAACCCACUCUUCACUGCACCAGGCUUGACCCGAGGUUAGCUCUUUUGUCCUUUUGGAAAACUGCACCGCAGCUGUCCCUUCUUGACCGGCUCAAUCCACUUCUCCAAAAGAGGUUGAGGGUGUCUUGUCCCUUUAGGGAUCACCACACAGGGGUUACCAAGCAAUUACUUUGUUCUUUCUUCAUUCUGCCUACAUUUCUCCAGUUGCAUUAUGACAUGCAAAUGCUUGUUGAAUUGUUUUGAGUAUGUCCAGCUAGAGACAGUUGCAGCAGCUCUGCUCAUAAUCCAUGCUUUCUAUGAUGUGUAAGAAAUAUCUAACUUUAUGUUUGUUCAUACAGAAAAUGACACUUGAAUUAUAAUUCUUAUGGGAGUUAGAAAAGUCUUGCUUCUUUGAUGAUUAUCCAAAGAUUCAAUCAUGAAAUGCAGAAAAUGUAAAUCUUCAUGAAUAUAUGAAUCUCCAACAAUCCCUAAUUUCACACCCAUAAAUUCCUUAUUCCACUCCCAUAAUUUGUACCAUGCUCCCCCAUUUAUUUGUAAUACUUCAUAUGUAUUACAACCAUCUGCUAUAUAUAUCACAUUCAAAGGAAAGUAUCCUUAUAGAAUUGAUAUUGACUUUAAAUGCUUGAUCAAAUAUUCCGCUACAUAAAUCAAAACUCAAUGGCAAAUACAAUGAAGGAUAGAAAUUAAAAAAUUAAAAAUAAAAUAAUUUUAUGUAAAAUGAAAUAAAAAUACCUUUGAAGCUCUUCAUCUAGAUAUACUAGAUAUAACUCAAAACACCCACAAUCAUACACAAAGAAAGAGGAGUGAUAUGGCAUCUUGUAGCAAAUUCUUUGCAAAAUAGGGAUUGGUAUUUGAAAAUUUUAUUAUUAUUAAUCUACCAUUUCCAAAGUAAAAUCAUCAAAACCUUCUAAAUUUGAUUAUUCUUUCAUUAAAGUGUUGUCAAAUUUCUUGUUAAUAAAGUUUGAUAGAAGAUAAGAAAAUAAAAUUAUAAGGUAUAAUAUAAGUACUUUUUAAUAAUAAUAAUAAUAUUAACAAUAUUAUUGUUAUUAUUAUUAUAGUUAUGGAUUUCCUUAAUAUAAUACGUUAGAUGUUCUUUUAAGUAAAGGAAUAUUGUUAUUGCUUUUGUAAUAAUAUAUAAGAACAUUAGAAAAAAACAGUUAAUAAUGUAUUUAUUGACAAAUUUGGUAAUCAUAAUUUAACAUUUACAACUACCAUCAAUAAUAAUGAGAUUCUCACAUCUAUAGAAUUUAGAGGAUUUAUAACAUAAUCUUGUUAGGUUUAUAUGUUUAAUUUACAUGAGCAAAUGACUAAUAAAUUAUUUAGUCCAAUAAAUUGCAAUAGAUGUGAUAUUUUAUAUCAAAAUAAUUUUUACAAAUUAAUACAUUAAUUAUAUAAUAUUUGAAAAGAACAUUUAAAAUUUUUUAUAUAAUGAGUGUAGGGUUAAUUUUUCAAAAUAAAUUACUACUACAGUUUUUUUUUCUUUUUCUUUUUGGGCUAAAAUUAUCCAUAUUUGUAGCACGAAAAACCAUAUCCUUGAGUAAGAAAAUAAAAAUAAAAAUUACACAAUGUGUAUUGAACCAAAUCAAAAAUAUAAAAUAUAAAACUUCGAAUAUACUUCCUAUUAUUAUUAGUUCAACGAUUAAACUGGAAAAAUGAUUGAACAAGUCGAGUUUGAGAACUAGUUAACUUACAUAUAUAUAUAUUUUUUUAACUGUUUUCUUUUUUCAAAGUCUAAACAAAUGUUUUUUGUUUGUGCUAUAUAUUUGAAAACUAAAAUUUCCACAAAAUUUUAUUAAAACUUUAAACAAGUAAUCAAUAUAAAAAGAUUAAUUUAAUAAAUCACUCAUAUUUCUUGUCAUUAAACUGAGCAUUGUCAUCAACAAGUAUUUAACAUUUAUAUAACCUUGCUAAUCAAAAACAUAAAUAUGAUUUUUCUUAAUAUAUAUAUAUUUGUAGACCCCCGAACAGUAGAGUUCUUUGGGGUGAUGUUGCUUUUAUAUAUAUAUCUUCUGACCACCCUGGGAAUUAGGCUGACGGGGGUGGCCAGAUGGGACGCGAGAGGGGCAGAGAGUAGGUGAGAGUUGUGGAGGAAUGGGCGGGAAAUGAAAAACAGAGGAGGAAGAUAGAAAGGGGGAGGUUUUUUUUUUUUGAGGGGACUACGAGUUACAGAGGAAGAGUAACAGCAGGAGAGAAACGAGGUGAGGAGGGGGGAUUUUUUUUCAGCUGGCUAGAGGAGACCUUGAAAGCUAUUGGAGGAAAAACACAGGUAUCAUUUCUGCAAGCUAUGGAUUUUCUUAUGUUCAGGGUACUUUAUGAUGUCUUAUGGGUAUUAUGAGAUGUUAUUUUUGAUGCUUGAAUGUGCUUCCUUUUUUUUUUUUUGGAGAUUCUCACAUAUUUUUUAUGGAAUCUAAGCCUGCUUAUACUCACUCGAAGCUUGAUUUCCAACCUGUUCAUGGUCUCUGUUUUGGUGUUUUAUAUGAGAUGUUGGCAUCCACGUAUUGAUUUCUCUUUAGGAACUUAAAAUGGAACAAUAGAUGACAUGGAUGUUUCAGCCAAUGUAGUUGUUAUAAGUUUCUCCAUGCAUGCCACCACCCUUCCAGCUCUCCACUCUUCCCCCCCUCACCCCCAUACCCGCGUCAUGCCUAUCCCCAUUAGGACCCCGAAGUCACUCGCCUACAUGCGUAGGAAUCGUGCAUGCGUGGAGCCAUGGACGGCGGCAGCAGGCUGCCACCAGCUUGCUGUGGAUGGUGGAGGCGGCACGCGGUGCCGCGUGAUGGUGUGCAGCUCCAGAAGGUGUCGCGGAGUGAAAGAAAUGGUGUGAACGAAGUUGUCGCAGCAAGAGAGCGGUCAGCUGUAGCAGGCCGCGAGGGUGUCUGCAUGAAAAAAAAGAUGUGGAACGAACGAGAAAGAGAGGGGGAAGUGGCUGCCAAGAAGCUGGUUGGUGAAGAUGAUGAUGCCCAGGUGGAAAUGGCUUUGGGCUUAAGUUUGGAGCCCAGGCCCAAGCUUAUGAUGAAGAAGGUGUUUGUAUUGGGCUUGCCCACGGAGAUUUUGGGUUUAGGCUUGAGCUUUGCUGGUGGACUUGGAGGCUUGGGCUUGGGUUUGAGCUUUGCUGGUGGACUUGGAGGUUAGGAUUUGGGCUUGAGGUCUGCUGAUGGACUUGGACUGGACUAGGGUUGCUAGGGUGAUUUUAUUACUAUUAUUAUUAUUAUUGUUGUUAUUAUACUUAUUAUUAUUAUUAUUAUUAAUUCAACUUUUAAAAUCUCAUUAUUAUUAUUAUUAUUAAUUCAACUUUCAAAAAAUAUUAUUAUUAUUAUUAUUAUUAUUAUUAUUAAUCCAACUUUCAAAAUAUCAUUAUUAUUAUUAUUAUUAAUUCACACUUUCAAAAUCUAUUUAUUAUUACUAUUAUUAUUAUUAAUUCAAACUCUCAAAAUCUUAUUAUUAUUAUUAUUAUUAAUUCAACUCUAAAAAAAUCUUAUUAUUAUUAUUAUUAUUAAUCCAACUUUCAAAAUUUAAUUAUUAUUAUUAUUAUUAAUUCACACUUUCAAAAUCUAUUUAUUAUUAUUAUUAUUAUUAUUAUCAGUAAUCCAAACUUUCAAAAUCUUAUUAUUAUCAUUAUUAUUAUUAUUAUUAAUUAAUUCACACUUUCAAAGUCUUAUUAUUAUUAUUAUUAUUAUCAUUAAUUCAAACUUUCGAAGUCUUAUUAUUAUUAUUAUUAAUAAUUCAAGCUUUCAAAAUUAAUCUUAUUAUUACUAUUAUUAUUAUUAAUUCAAACUCUCAAAAUCUUAUUAUUAUUAUUAUUAUUAUUAUUAAUCCAACUUUCAAAAUCUCAUUAUUAUUAUUAUUAUUAAUUCACACUUUCAAAAUCUAUUUAUUAUUAUUAUUAUUAUUAUCAGUAAUCCAAACUUUCAAAAUCUUAUUAUUAUCAUUAUUAUUAUUAUUAUUAUUAAUUUACACUUUCAAAAUCUUAUUAUUAAUAUUAUUAUUAAUUCAACUCUCAAAAUCUUAUUAUUAUUAUUAUUAUUAUUAAUUCACACUUUCAAAGUCUUAUUAUUAUUAUUAUUAAUUCAAACUUUCGAAGUCUUAUUAUUAUUAUUAUUAUUAUUAUUAAUUCAAGCUUUUAAAAUUAAUCUUAUUAUUACUAUUAUUAUUAUUAAUUCAAACUCUCAAAAUCUUAUUAUUAUUAUUAUUAUUAAUUCAACUUUCAAAAAAUCUUAUUAUUAUUAUUAUUAUUAUUAUUAUUAAUCCAACUUUCAAAAUCUCAUUAUUAUUAUUAUUAUUAAUUCACACUUUCAAAAUCUAUUUAUUAUUAUUAUUAUUAUCAUUAAUCCAAACUUUCAAAAUCUUAUUAUUAUCAUUAUUAUUAUUAUUAUUAUUAUUAAUUCACACUUUCAAAAUCUUAUUAUUGUUAUUAUUAUUAAUUCAACUUUCAAAAUCUUAUUAUUAUUAUUAUUAUUUAUUCACACUUUCAAAAUCUUAUUAUUAUUAUUAUUAUCAUUAAUUCAAACUUUCGAAAUCUUAUUAUUAUUAUUAUUAUUAAUUUAAACUUUCAAUAAAUCUUAUUAUUAUUAUUAUUAUUAUAAAUUCAACUUUCAAAAUCUAUAUCCUUGCAUUUUAAUUCCCUAAAGUUCAUUUCUCAUUUUCUUUGGCAAAUUUUAUUUUAAUUACUGAAGCUCUAAUCUUUUGAAUUUAAUUCCCAAAAUCUCCAAUUUUCCAAUAAACUCCAAGAAUCCAGUCUUCACCCUAAUAGUUUUAAUUCCAUUUCAGUUCCUAAAUAAUCUUCCGAUCUUCUUGAUUUUACAUAAGCAAUAGUGAAUUCUUCAUAAUUCUAAAACACGGUAUUUGUGAGACUAGUUCGUGAAUAAUAAAUUUGGCUUUGGUGGAGGGGGCCUAUGUUUGAUCCCUAUUGAUUGUCAACUGUUGUGCUUAAUAUAUUUUGCUUAAUCUUCAUUUUGCACUUCGAUAUGCAUGAGCUAUAAUUUGUAUUCGUUAAUUGUGUAUUAAUCUCAUUUCUUGAUAGCGCAUUGUGGCUCGUGGCCCAGGUACGCAUACAUUCUCAUUCUGAUACUUCACUAUACGUGUUUCGAUUCUCAUAUGUGCAUGAUCAUUCAGGAUAUUCAUUGAUUUACUCAUCAACUGCCACAUCAGCUUUAUUUUAUCAGUAGAGACCUGACUUUAGGGACUUAGAGGGGUGCUAUGGUCUUCACCGUACCUUCCCGAUAAGUAACUUGACCCCUGAGCCCGAUCCGGUUUUUCGUAGAUCGUCUUUUCCAAAACCAGGAGUCGUAUUUAGGGUUUUUCUUUCUUAUUUUGUUUACCCUUUUAAAAAUAAAACAAAAAUAAGUGGCGACUCUAAGUCAUUUUUAAUCAACAAAUCAAUUUUUAAAAUAAAAAUCGAACUCGCCAUUCGAGUGGGAAACGCAUGAGCCGAAAUGCAGGGUCCGCAAUAUUAAUCAUUAUUUAGUUGCAUAGGAAUUUUAAGAAAUUUAAUUAUUUUACUAAGAAAUUCAUCAUGAAGCUUAAUUUGUAAAAUUACAAAAAUGUCCAUGAAAUGGAACUUUUUGUUGGAAGUUGAUAUCUUAUACCAUAUUUUAGUCUUUUUUUUUUCUCCUUAUUCUUUUUUCUUAAACAUAAAAUUUAAAAUGACAUAAAAAAUUUACUUUUUAUGUGAGAUAAUAUUUUAGUUUUUACUUUGAAUAACUUAAAUUAAUUUUUUGAUCAAUAUUCAUCAUUGAAUUUGGGCAAUUUUGAAAAGGUCAACAAUUUUAAUUUUAUGUUUUUUAUUUGUGAGAAUUAAGAUCUCAAAUUACGAAAAGAAUUCAGUAAAAUGUUAAAAAUAAAAUAAAAUUAAAUGAAGAUUAACUUUUGGGAUGUUAUUUACGGUUGAUUUGUCAAUAGGAAGUAACUUUUCCAACAAUAAUCACCAUGGCAAUGUGGGUGUCUCAUGGCUGUGCAUGGUUUUAUUUCUAUACACAAAAAUCUGUCAUUUCAUCAAAUCAUAUGGUAAUCAACUAAGUUUGAACUUAGAUUGGAUUUUAAAAUCAAAUAGAAAUAACUUAGAUUAAAAAAAAUAAAAAAAAUAAAUAUAUAAAAAGAAAAAUCACCAAUUCAUCAAACAAACUCUUACUUGAAUGGAAUAACAUGAAUAUUGAUAUUAAUACAUCUAUAUCUAUAUCUAAAGUGAUAUAGAUAUGAAAUGACAAAUAUUUUGUUUACAUAUAUAUUAUGAUGUGUAAUCAAUUUACUUCUAAAAAGAGGAGAAAAUUUUAAGAAUAUUAAGGUAGAGGAUUCUAAGCAGAAUCUUAAGGGAUUAAAUAGUUUGAGUCCAAUCAUCAAUUAGUUGUAAUAAUAUCUUAAAACAGUUUUGUUAAAUUACUAAACAGAUUACAUCAAAGUUGUUAAAACAAUAUUUUAUUAAAUUAUAAAAAAGAUCAAAUAGAUUCAAUUAUCUAAAGAAGGGGUAGCACCGGAAAUGGUGACUACCAAGUCAAUAAAUAACCAAUGUUUUUGCACCACUUUGGUGAGUGGACGGCACCAUGGUUGUCACUCUGAUGGGAUGACAUCUUUAUCUAAAAAAGGUUGUUGCCCACUAAUUACGGGUUAAAAAAGUUGUCGCCCAGUGAUUACUUGAUAGACAUCAAGAUCUCUCAUAUCUCUCAGUAGUGGAAGACGACUGCUGGUGUGCUUUAGAAGUUGUUGCAUUUAGAUAGGUUAGGUGGUUUGUUAGACUCUUUGGAUUAGUUAGACUGUUACACAAUGGAUAUUAUGAAAGAAUAAAAAUAGAAGAAAGAGAGUUGAGUUUUCUGGAAAAACUUUCGUUACUUUCGCUUCGUUAACCUCAACUUUUAUGACACAUCCUAAUCUUCUCCAACCUCCUUACCUCCGGUGACUGUAACAACACUCCAGAAUCCACUCAUCAAACGGAAAAAAAAAAAAGUUAAAGUAGUAGAGAUUUUUAUGAGGGAUUAAAUUAAUACAUUUGGGGCAACUCAUCCAUUCAAUAAUUAAUUUUUUUUUCGAUAGUUCAAUUUAUCGACUUCUGAUAUCCAACAAAAUGGGAAAACUUUUGAUAUCCUCUAUCUAAUAUAAUAAAACCGAUUCCUGAUCACUCAAGGAAAAGAAGGAAAAGAUCAAUGUAUCUGUAAACCUAGUUUCAUAUACUACCACAUCCUCAUCAGACAUUAAUUAAUUCCUAAUCACUCAAGGAAAAGAUAGAUGUAUUUGUAAACUUGAAAUUUGUCCAAGGGUCUUUUUGAACCCAUUGAAUUAGAAAUAUUUUUACCCUCUUAUACUUAACCUAUAAACUUUUUAUAUUUGUUUUGGAAAGAGAGAAAAUCAGAAGUUUUUAAGGGUAAAAUUAGGAUGUUUUGAGAGAAGAGAGAAAAUUAUUUUUAGAGAAAAUUAUAAUUUUUUUUAAGGGGGGGCUUUUUCUCACAACCAAGGAAGAGAGAGAGGGAGAAGAAAAGAAAAGAUAGAGAGAGAGAGAGAGAAAAGGAAUGAAAAGGAGGAUUUUGUGACAGAAGAAUUGUAUAGUAGGGUAUUUUCAUGUUGUACCCGUUGAAUAUGGUCAUAACUAUACACUUUUCUACUCGUAGAGAGUAAAGGUAGUGUUAUUGUUUUACUCAAUCGAGAUAUAACAUGAUCAAUAUUCACCAUCAACCAUUGAAUUUGAGCAAUUUUUAAAAGGUCAAUGAUUUUAAUUUUAUAUUUGUUUACAUAUGAUAAUUAAAAUCUCAAUUUGGAAAAAAAAAAUCCAGUAAAAUGUUUUUUUUUUAAAAAAAACAAAACAAAACCAAAAACAAAUUUGAAUGAAGAUUAACUAAUGGGGAUGAUAUGUACCUUUGAUUUGUCAAUAAGAAGCAACUUUUCCCAAAAAUAAUUACCAGGACAAUGCAGGUGUCACACAACCAUGCUGACCAUAAUGAUUUUAUUUCUAUAACAAAAAAUUUAUCAUCUCAUGGAAUUAACACAACAAUCAAUGAAGUUUAAACUUGGUUUGAAGUUUAGAAUCAAAUUGAGAUAACUUAGAUUUUCUAUAAAUACUUCAAAUUAGGAAAUUGAAAAUAUAGGAAAUAAGUUUUUCAUAAAACAUAUUAAAAUAUCUUCUAGAAAUAACAAUACAAAAAAUAUGGAAUGAUCACUUAAUGCAAAUUAGAUUAAGAAAAAAAAUCAACAAUUUGGACAAACUCAUACUUGAAAUGGAAUAACAUGAUGUACUAAUGUCUCUAAUCUCUAAUGUGAUAUAGAUAUAAAAUGAUAAAUAUUUUGUUGAAAUAUAUAUUAUGGUACAUAUGCAAUCCAAUUAAUGAAUAGAAAGCAAAUUCUAAGUACAAGGCUGAUGGAUUAAUUAGUUUGAGUGCAACCAUCAUUGAGUUUGUAAUUAUAUCAAAGAUGUUAAAUUAAUUUAAUAAAUAGUAAACAGAUUAUAUAGAUUGAAUUAUCCUCUGAAAAAAGAGUAGCAUGGGAAGUUGGACUACGAAGUCAAUAGCCAAUGCUUGUGCACCACUUUGUUAAGUUGUGUGUCUUUUUCUUUUCUUUUUUUCUCCUUUGGUAAUUGGACUGCACCAUGGUGUUGUCAAUCUCCAUAGGACUACACUGAAGCCUUUUCCACCACCCUAGACCCCUUUUUCCCAAAAAAGGGUUGUUGCCCACUGGUCACUUUCCCUCCGUUAACCUCAGCUUUUAACUUACCCUAAUCUCCUCCAACCUUUAUCAACUACCAACUCAAGGAUCGAUCACUGCAAUAAUCAUUGAGUUGUAAAUAUAUGGAAGUUGUUGAAACAUUUUUAUUGAAUAUAUACAGGGUAAUGCAUUGAAUUGCCUUCUAAUAAAAAAGGAGUAGCAUUUUGAUGUGAGACUUCACAAUCAAUAACUAAUGCUUUUGCACCAUUCAGACAACUACAUGUGAAAGUGGUGUUAUUCUUAAUCUUUUUUAAAUACAUAAGCCAGUUGCACGGUCCAGAUUGAACCACCUUCAUCCAAUGGCCAAAAAUGUUUUUUCGGUAGGUACCGAAGUGGUGCGAAUUUUCCAUUAGUUAGACUGUUACACAAUGGAAAAUUCUGCGGUACGGAAGUGGGUACGGUACCUGCCGUUGCCCCUGUUAGAAAAUUCUAAAGUUGAUCAACUUUUCAGGUUUCUUUCUCGGUUUUGGUAGGACUGCACUGUCGUUGCCCCUGCUUGCACUCCAUGACCCACUUUUUUCCAAGGAGGUGGUUUCCCACCAAUUUUUCUCUUCUUGAAUACACCAUUAGAUCGUGAUAUGCGGACAGCUCUAUAUGCAAAUUGAGUUUUGUCUCCUGUGGAAAGUGGAAUGUGGAAUGUGGAAUGUGGAAUGUGGACUACAGCACCGUGAUAACCCACUCUUCACUGCACCAGGCUUGACCCGAGGUUAGCUCUUUUGUCCUUUUGGAAAACUGCACCGCAGCUGUCCCUUCUUGACCGGCUCAACCCACUUCUCCAAGAGAGGUUGAGGGUGUCUUGUCCCUUUGGGGAUCACCACACAGGGUUUACCCAGCAAUUACUUUGUUCUUUCUUCAUUCUUCCUACAUUUCUCCAAUUCCAUUAUGAAAUGCAAAUGCUUGUUGCAUUGUUUUGAGUGUGUCCAGCUACAGACAGUUGCAGCAGCUCUGGUCAUAAUCCAUGCUUUCAGUGAUGUGUAGGAAAUAUCAAAAUUUAUGUUUGGUCAUGCAGAAAAUGACAGCUGAAUUAUAAUUUUUAUGGGAGUUAGAAAAGUCUUGCUUCUUUGAUGAUUAUUCAAAGAUUCAAUCAUGAAAUCCAGAAAAUGUAAACUUCAUGUAUAUAGGUUUGGAAUUUAUACAAAGAAAGAGGCGCGAUAUGACAUCUUUUAGCAAAUUUUUACUUACAAAAUAGGGAUUGGUAGUUGAAAAUUUUAUUAUUAUUGAUCUACCAUUUCCAAGUAAAAUCAUCAAAACCUUCUAAAUUUAAUUAUUCUUUUAUUAAAGGGUUGUCAAAUUUCUUGUUAAUAAAGUUUCAUAGAAGAUAAAAAAAUAAUAUUAUAAGGUAUAAUACAAGUACUUUUUAAUAAUGAUAUUAUUAUUAUUAUUAUUAUUUGUAUUUUGUCUAUCAUUUUAUAUUUAUAUAUAUAAAUAUAAAUCAGUCUCCAAAAGCGGUUGAGGGUGUUCUUGUCACUUUAGGGACCACCACACAGGGGUCACCCAAUAAUUACUUUGUUCCUUCUUCAUUCUUCCUACAUUACUCCAAUUGCAUUAUGACAUGUGCAAAUGUCGUAGAAUUGUUGAAUAUGUCUAACGAGAGACAGUUGCAGCAGCUCUGGUCCUAAUCCAUGCAUUCAAUGAGGUGUAGGAAAUACCAAACUUUGUGUUUGGUCAUGCAGAAAAUGACUUUGGAAUUAUAAUUUUUAUGGGAGUUGGAAAAGUCUUGCUUCUUUGAUGAUUAUCCAAUGAUUCAAUCGGGACAAGCAAAAAAUGUAAAUCUUCAUGCAUAUAGGUUUGGAAGUUAUUUCUUCAGAAAAUAUAAAUAUCCACUAAACAUUAAUAUAGUUGAAAAUAAAAAAACAUAUAUAAUAAAAAACAUAUAUUAUAAAUUAGAACAUCUUCUUACUUUAUAGUAAUUUCCUUAAAAAAAUUACUUUAUAUUCCACUAAACAUUAGCCUUUUAAAUCAACUGAUGUUUCACAAACAACUUUAAUUUGUUUCAAAUGAAAGAAGUCGACAUUUGUAAUUAUUAUUGCACCUUUAUUACUUUUCAAAUCCCAUUUGUAAAAAUAAAUAUUAGGACCCACUCUUAUACACAGAACGCAACGUUUCUCUUUCAAUGGCGUGGUUUUGGAAUAUUACGUGCCUUGGCUAUAUAAAGAGGUCGAGGUUCAAGGUUGGAAUAUGUAAAAAUCAGCGGUAAGAGAUCGGUGUGAGAUACAUGGAUUUGGCAAACGGUGUGAUAUCAGCUGAGCUGCUUCAUGCUCAAGCUCAUGUCUGGAAUCAUAUAUUCAACUUCAUAAAGUCUAUGUCACUAAAAUGUGCUAUUCAACUAGGCAUCCCAGACAUCAUCCACAACCAUGGCAAGCCCAUGACUCUUCCUGAGCUGGUCGCUAAGCUCCCAGUCCACCCUAAAAGGAGUCAGUGCGUGUACCGUCUCAUGCGCAUUCUUGUUCAUUCUGGCUUCCUUGCUGCGCAAAGAGUCCAACAAGGUAAGGAAGAAGAGGGGUAUGUGCUUACAGAUGCCUCUAGGCUCCUUCUAAUGGAUGACUCCUUGAGCAUAAGGCCCUUGGUGCUUGCCAUGCUCGACCCAAUUUUAACUAAACCAUGGCAUUAUCUGAGUGCUUGGUUUCAAAAUGAUGAUCCCACUCCGUUCCACACUGCUUACGAGCGGUCAUUUUGGGAUUAUGCCGGCCAUGAACCCCAGCUCAACAAUUCCUUCAAUGAAGCCAUGGCUAGCGAUGCUCGCUUACUCACCAGCGUGCUGCUUAAGGAGGGCCAGGGCGUAUUUGCGGGGUUGAACUCAUUAGUUGAUGUAGGGGGUGGCACAGGAAAAGUGGCCAAGGCCAUUGCUAACGCUUUCCCACAUUUGAACUGCACCGUGUUAGAUCUCUCCCACGUGGUUGCUGGCUUGCAAGGGAGCAAGAACUUGAACUACUUUGCAGGUGAUAUGUUUGAGGCAAUUCCUCCUGCAGAUGCAAUUUUACUCAAGGUAUACCCCAAUUUUCUCUUGUCAGUUACAUAACGUUGUCUGGAUCACAAAGAAUAAGAAAAAAAAAAAUUUUAAAUGUUCAAAAAACAAAAAAAAAAAAAAAAAAAAUUCAUUUUACGUUGUCGGUCAGUCCGGGUUCAAAUAUGCUACAAGUUAUAUAGGGGUUCGGCUGGAAAAGCCAACUGAAAUAAGGUCACCGAUCACAAAAUACUAGGUGUCGAAUUCAUCAUGUGGCUCUUUCAUAGUUAGUUUUUAUCCAUGGACAUGAAUUGAAUUGGAUUUCUGGUGAAGCUUUCUCCAUCCGAACCUAAUUAUAUACUUCCAUGUCUAACUGGAAUUCAAAUGACUAGUGGAUACUGCACGACUGGAGCAAUGAAGAAUGCGUGAAGAUACUAAAGCGAUGCAGGGAAGCAAUUCCGAGCAAGGAAAACGGAGGAAAGGUGAUUAUCAUAGACAUGAUCAUGAUGAAGAAUCAAGGAGACUACAAGUCCACAGAAACACAGCUGUUCUUUGAUAUGACGAUGAUGAUUUUCGCCCCGGGUAGAGAGAGGGACGAGAACGAAUGGGAGAAGCUAUUCUUGGAUGCUGGUUUCAGUCACUACAAGAUAACUCCCAUUUUGGGUUUGAGGUCCCUCAUUGAGGUUUAUCCUUGAUGCUCUUUUUGUUUGUAGUAUGGCAAAUUUAUGCAUGGUUAAUUCACAAAGUCUGCUAAGAUUAAGAUGGUUCUUGCUCCGUUUGAUUGGGCAGAAGUACUGUUCAUCUUUGUUAUAUGAAUUUCAAUAAUAAUAAUGACUUUCUUCAUAUAAUCUACGUGUUUGUUUUGGAGUAAUGAAUUAUUAUUUUCUGUAAUAUUAAAUUUGGUGGUUCAUGGUUGAGUAGUGUUAGAGUGCAUGAUUGUGUGCCUAAAUUCUAUAAGUUUAAAAUUUUAGAAAAAUUGGUUGUUUAAUAUGAUAUUAUACCCUCUUUGAAUCUCAUCCUCUAUGUUUUUCCCUCAAUUUAUCAAAAAGAAGAAAAGAAAAAAAUUACCUUUCCAUUUUAUUAAAGCCAUGUGUAAGUUCAAAGAAAGUCGACUCAUGAAAUGAUUGUAGAUUCAAAUCCUUAAGGUUACGUUUGGUUAUCGAAAAAUGUGAGGAAAACUACGAUGAAAAUAAAAUAGAGAGGAAAAGUAAAAAAAAAAAGAAAAAAGAAAAAAGAAAUAAAAAUAGAUUUAAGGUUAUUAAAUUAUUUUAUAUAUUACUUCAAACUCAUUUAAUUUAUUUUUCUACUUCUGCAUAAAGAUUAAAUAAUUUAAAAAUAUAUAAAUUUCUAACUAAUUUUAGUGAUAUUUAAUUUUUUUUAAUAUAGAGACCAAACAUGAAAAAAAUCAUUUUUCUUAAUAUUUUUUUGGUUCCUCGAUACUUUUUGUAUGUUUCAGUCAUUUUUUUUUUAAUGAUAUAAAAAAGAUUUGUUAAACAUUAUUAAGAGAGAAAAGGUUGAAAUUUUCUUUUCAAAAGAAAACCUCUCCAAAUCAAUUAUGAAAAGGAGACUUUUCAAGGGUGAAAGUUUAUUACUCUUUUUAUUUAAAGGACUUAUUUUUGUCUUAGUAAAAAAAAAAAUGAAAAUGAGGAUUAACUAAACAGGAAAGGUGAUUCAAAGACAAGGAUAAGAAGGGUGAUGAAGAAUGGAAAAGCCUUCAUACUAAAAAAAAAGUCCCUCUCUUCCAAUCAUUUAUACUGAGACUGAACAAAAGUGUAAGGUAAAGAAUUUUGUAUGUAUUUUGGGAUUAAAAUCGAUCGUAUGUGUAUUGUAGAGUACGUACAUAAUAGGCAUGAGAAAUUGUUAAGAUAUCUAUGGAUAAGAAAUUUAUUGUGUGGAGAUUAUUAUUAUUAUACAUUUUUUUAGCUAGUUAGUUGGUGAGAAAAUGCAAACCCUAAUUUUGUGGGUUCCCAUUUGUAAGAAUUUUUUUGAAGUCAUAUAUUUUAAUGGAGUUGCAAAUUAUUGGAAUACUAAAUAGAAGGAAAAUUUAGGCCACGUUUGGUUCUUAGAAAACUUGAGGGAAAAUGUGAAGGAGAGAAAAGAAAGGAAAAGUGAAAGGAAAAGUGGAAGGAAAGUGAAAGAAAAUAAAAAAUAAAUAAAUUUAAAUUCAAUAAAUUAUUUUUAUAUGUUUCUUCAAACUCAUUUGACUUACUUCUCACCAUUAUAUAAAGAUUAAAUAAUUUAAAAAUAUAUAAUUUUUUUUACAAAUUUUAAUUAUAUUUUAUUUUCUUUUGUAUUUUUCAUGGUGAAACCAAGCAUGAGAAAAUCAUUUUCUUUGCCUUUUUUUUUUCCUUUCGUCAGUACUUUUCAAAAACCAAGCAUAAGCUUAAUGUUUGAUACUUGAAUCAAAUAUGUUUAAGUAGGGAAUAAAGGAGGAAGGGCGACCUGCAUUUGAAAAAGAAAAAGGAAAUGUAAGAAGUUGUAGUAAACGAGGCUUAGAAAUUACGAGAAAUACAAUUUUGGGAGGGUUAUGCAUGGGCAGGCCUGUGUAUUUGAAACGAUCCCUAUGGACCUUCAUUUUCAUCAUGCGCUCCCCACUCGAUUGGUGAGAUUCGCUUUUGAUUAAAGUGAAAAAUUGUACAUAUAUAAAAACUUAGAGUUGUCACUUACUUUUAUUUAUUUUGUAAAAAGAAAUCAAGUAAUAACAAAAUAAAAAUAAAAAUGACUCCUAGUUUAUUUAGAAAAGUUGUAUAUGGAAAACUCGAGUUUGGGUUCGGGGAUCAAAUUACUUAUUGGAAAGGUACAUCAAGGAGGUAACACCCCUUUAAGCCCUAAAAUAAUCUCUACUAGCUGAGUUAAGGGAAAUACAAUAAUUAAUCAAAUGAUUAUGAAUACCUAGAUAGGUUAAGGUGAUUUUAAAAGUCUACUAACUCUAGUAUGUCAAACAAGGAUUCAAACCACAAUCAUAAAGAAAGGAUAAUAUGCGUACUUGGAUUUGCAACUUAAAUGCUAUCACAAAAUAUCAAAGUUAGUUCAGUUAUUAUCUCACUCAACAUGCAUUUUAUCAUAGGAAGUCAUCAAGGCACCCAAAGUCAAUAUCAACACAUGGAUAUAGUUUCCAAUGACAUACAUAUUCAUAGAACUUUGAAAUGAGAAGAUAGAGAGCGUACCUGAGUAGCAAACAUUAGCGUUUUUAUAAAAAUGAGGUUAAUUCACAAAUGAUAAUAAUAAGAUUAAUGAAUAAUAAAAAACUAAACCUAUAUAUAUAUAUACUUAGCAUGUCUCAAGUCAAGGAAAGUUCACAAGCAUGUUCAAAAGGGACCAAAUUAUCAAAAGCAAAGGAAUUAUCAUUAAUAGGUAGAAUAUCGGUUCACAAAAUAAACUCCAAAUAAAUAUCAAGAAAUGUUAUCUUACCAAAAUAAAAAGUAGGUAACAUCUUUAACAUGUCCAGAUUAACACCCAAUAGACCAAAUUAAUCAAUUAUAUUCCAAUUAAUAUCAAAUUUAUUCACAAGUGGGUUACUUCACAAAAAAAUCAGCAAAUGAUCAGAAUAUAUUCCAAUUAAUAUCAAAAUUUUUCAAAUAUGCAUACCGAAUAAAUUUGGUUGCAUGAAUUUUGGAAAAUUGACAUUUCUUUACCUAAUUGAUCUAAGAUUAAUUUUAAAAUGAAGUUAGAAGAUUAAUUUGGCUAUAUAAAAAAAGUUAAAACAAAUUUUAAAAAAUAUUAAAACACAUAGAAUCUCAAACACAAACUAUCAAGAAAAAAUGUAAAUGUGUAUAUGUGAAUUCUCUAGUGUGCCAUGAUGAAACUCAAGUGUCCUAAAUAUUAACCUAAGGUGCAGCUACAUUUAAGACUAAUUAUGUCUUAAUUUGGGUCUUAAAUUAUGAUACAAAAGUAUCCUAAGUGUGUGCCUAAUUAAGCCUAGACAAGCAAUCAUCUAUUGGUGCCAAACGUAUGUGAAUUAUGAUAGGUAAGCCGAAAACUUGCAUUAGCCGAAAAUGAAAAAUCAAGGAGGCAUAAAACCUAAUUAAUGCAUUUAUUCAAAGCCCAUUGUCAUGCAAUUUUCCAAUGCUUAUUCAAAUAAAAGAGUUUGAAGAAAAAUUAACCCAAUCUCAAUCAUAAUUUAUCAAACAAUCAACAUUCAAUCAAACAAAUUCCCAAAUGUCAAAUCGAAUAACACUCAUGUGUGGCCCGAUUUGUCCACACCCAACCUAUUCUAAUGUAUUCGAAAGAAAUAAAUAAAGAAGAAGAUAUGAAAAAUUAAAUCAGAAUUAGGACAAUUAGAUAAUUCAUCACAAGGUGUCCAAAAUUCUAUUAAUACCUUGAUGUUCUCCAAGUUGUGUUCGACUCAUCUCUGCUACAGUUUCAGCAAAACCUUCUUGUGACCCUUAAUGUCCACACCAAACAACAAACGACAUCGGAAGAUCGACAGAAAAAAGAAAAGGAAUGCAUGAUAAUUGAAAUGAACCAAUGAACCAGAAACUUACUACAGCCAUACCUAUAACAACUCCUCCAAACCUUGUUGACCAAGCUUCAAGCAAGUUGCAUCCCCUCCUAUAGCUGAUAAAAUGACUAGCCCUCAUUCUCUGUCCUUUAAAUGUCUUCUCCUUUAUUUUCCUUUAUGUUUUCCUUUUGUUUCUGGUUCUUUCUCUCUCUCUUCGAGCGCUCUUUGAAUUUUUUCCUCUGUACCUCUUUGUCCCUAUCUCUGCUUUUCCUUUAAAAAUCAGAACUUUUUCUUUUUCUUUUUCUCCUCAGAAUCCUUCAUCUAAAAGACUUUUUUCUUUUGUUUCUGGUUGCACACACAUUGCAGCUAUAGCAGCCACCUGAAUAACCUCUUUCAUGGAGUAUUGACCCUCCAGUGCUGGAUCCAUUAUCUGUACAACCUUCUCUCUAUCUGUGAGGUGGGGCAAAGCCUGUAGCAAAACCGAUAGACAACAUGAGAUAGUCCGUAAAGUCAGAAUGAAGUAAAAGUGUGUGUGUGUAUAAGCGAGAGACAGAGAGUAAGUAAGAGAUAUAGGGGAAAGGAAGAGAAGGACAGAUAGGGGGAGAGGUAGGGAGAGGGAGGGAGAGAAGGAUGGAUACGGGGAGAGGUAGGGAGAUGGGAGAGGGGGAGAGAUAGGAAGGAGAUAGAGAGAUAGAGAGAGAGAGAGAGAGAGAGACUAGAAUAAGAGAAAGUAUGCCAAAGAAGCGUGUGUGUAUGUUUGGGCAUGUGUGGCAUGCACAUGUGCAUGUGUGUGUGUGUGUGAGAGAGAGAGAGAGAGAGUAAAAGAUAAGAGAAAGGAUGCCAAAGAUGAGCUCCUCUAAACUAAGUAAAAAGGUGGAAGAGAGUUGUUAAUAUAUUAUGAAUCAUUUUAUUGCAGUGGAAUCAACUAAGCAGACAUGAGGAGCCCACCCAAGAUACAAGAACACCUUCCCCAGAAGCUCUCUUCAUAUCCACUGGAACUCUGCCAGUGAGCAACUCCAAAAGGACAACCCCAUAGCUGUACACAUCUGAUUUUGUUGUUAGAUGGCCAGUUAAUGCAUACCUGUACCGCAAACCAAUACCAAAUUCGUAAUUAGUUGGCAUCAAAGUUUUACAUAAUGAACAACUAAUAUUACAUGCAGGGAGCAGGUUAGAGGAUAAGUUAUUGCAAGUUUUCUAGGUCUUUAAAAUUGUUUUCAAUCAUUGGCUCUUCAUAAAUGUCUUACAUCUUUUUCGACUUCUUAAUACUUAAAUAUUUUUUCACAAGAAGGUCGUUUUUUAUUAAUAUUUAUCUUUCUUUGUUCAUUUUAUUAAUGAAAACUAAUAUGCAAGCAUGCAGAGUAUGGUUCAGAGGGAAUAGCAUCCACAAAAGGUGAUAUAUAUAGUUAUGGGAUCAUGCUGAUGGAAACUUUUGUGAGGAAGAAGCCUACAGAUGAAAUGUUCGUGGAGGAACUAACCUUGAAGAGUUGGGUGGAGUCAUCAGCCAACAACAUAAUGGAGGUUAUAGAUGUCAAUCUUCUAACAGAAGAAGAUGAAAGUUUUGCCUUAAAACAAGCUUGUUUUUCUUCCAUCAUGACAUUGGCCUUGGAUUGUACCGCUGAGCCUCCUGAGAAGCGAAUUAACAUGAAAGAUGUUGUGGAUAGACUCAAGAUCUUCAACAAAUUGCUGAUAUAAGGACUCCACAAUUAAGAAAAAAAAAAAGGCAUGAAGAUCAUGUCCCUUUCUUCCACCCUGAGCUUGUUUAAGAGUUCACAAAUCAAGAAUUGAGGGACCAUUGGGCAUGGCCUGCUAGGCAGUUGAAAGUUCCUCAUUAUAUGAACCCUAUGCAAAUUAUGCUCAAGUGUUUGUGUAGUUCCAUCCAUUUUCCCUAAUGUAAUUCAACUUGAAUAAUGUCAUGGGUCUGAAUGCUUUUAUUUUGUAUUUUUCUAAUAGCAUAAUAUUAAGUGAAGGUGCCCAAUGCGUAACUUCUAGAAGAACAUUUCGUGCUUUUCUUUUUAAGAUAUGAUAGACUUUACUACAAUAAAUUAUUUGUCUAUAAUUGAUCACUUUAGCAAACUGUCUGGUCAAAAUUGACCUUUGCUUGCAGACAUAUCUUACUUAAUUUCUUAUAACUUGCAAUUACUUCCAGAUUAUGUAUAAUUGAAUUUCGCUUAUUUCAAAAUUAUGGCUCAUGAGAAUUAAGAAGUUCGAUGUGUCUUUCAUCUUCCAAACAUGUUUUAUGGUUUGAAAAGAAUAUAAUAUAAAUUGACAAAAGUUAGCUAUUGAAAGAAUAGAGUAAAAGUGGUGCUCAUUUUACUUAAUCAGAUAUAUGACAUGAUCAAUAUUUAUCAUGUAAUCUGAACAAUUUUGAAAAGGUCAAUAAUUUUAAUUUUGUGUUUGUAUUUGUGAGAAUUGAGAUCUCAAAUUUGAAAAAGAAUUUAGAAAAAUUAAUGUUAAAAAAAAAUGAGUGAAGAUUAACUUUGGGGAUGAUAUAUACAAGUCAUUUGUCAAUAGGAAAUAACUUUUUUGAAAAUAACCAUCAUGGUAAUGUGGGUGUCACAUAGCACUGCUAACCAUGGUUUUGUUUCUAUAAACUAAAAUUUGUCAUUUCAUCAAAGUCAUAUAGCAAUCAACAAGUUCGAACUCAGAUUGAAUUUUAGAAUCAAAUAGAUAUAACUUAGAUUUCCUAUGAAUACUACAAAUUAGGAAUUUGAAAAUAUGGGAAAUAAGACUUUCACAAAAUAUAUUAAAACGUCUAGUAGGAACAAUAAUCCUAAAAAAAUAUGGAAUUAUUUAAGUAAAUUAGAUUAAAAAAAAAAAUCAGCAAUUCAUCAAACAAAUUCAUACUUGAAUGAAAUAUCAUGACCAUUAGAAUUGAUACAUCUAUACCUAUAAAAGAAUAUUAAGGUAGGGAAUUGUAAGCACAAGGUUAAGGAAUUAAUUAGUUUGAGUCCAAUUAGAUGUAAUUAUUAUUUCGAAGUUGUUAAACAAUUUAUUAAAUUAUUAAACAGAUUACAUAGAUUAAAUUAUGAAAAAAAAGAAGAAGAGUAGCAUCGGAAAGUGUGACUACCAAGUCAAUAACCAAUGUUCUUGCACCACUUUGGUAAGUGAACUGUUAUCACUCUGGAUGGGAUUACAUUGAAGCCCUUGUUCACCUCUGAGGACAUUUUUUCCAAAAAAGGUUGUUGCUCACGAAUUACUUGACAGACGUUAAGAUCACUCACAGCUCUCACCGAUCUCACCGGUGUAACGGCUGCUGCUUGCUUCAGAAGUUGUUGCACUUCUUAAGUUGGGUAGUUUGUAAGACUUUGUUAGAUUAGUUAAGACUGUUACACAAUGGAAAAUUCUAUGGCACCGAAGUGGGUACCGCACCUGCAAAAUUCCUGUCGUUAGAUCAAAAGCUUCCAAUCACGACUGAAUGCCUUUGCACAACUUAGCCGGACAGCUCCAUGUGCAAUUGGUGUUUUUUUAACCAUCGUUGCCUCUUCUUGAAUACGCUUUGCUUGACCAACUUUUCAGGUUUCUUUCUUGGUUUUGGUAGGACUGCACUGUUUUUGCCCCUGCUUGCACUCCAUGACCCACUUUUUUCCAAGGAGGUGGUUUCCAAUCAAUUUUUCUCUCCUUGAAUACGCCAUUAGAUCGUGAUAUGCGGACAGCUCUAUAUGCAAAUUGAGUUUUGUCUCCUGUGGAAUGUGGACUACAGCACCGUGAUAACCCACUCUUCACUGCACCAGGCUUCACCUGAGGUUAGCUCUUUUGUCCUUCUGGAAAACUGCACCGCAGCUGUCCCUUCUUGACCGGCUCAACCCACUUUGUUCUUUCUUCAUUCUUCCUACAUUUCUCAAAUUGCAUUAUGACAUGCAAAGUUUUGUUGAAUUGUUUUGAGUAUGCCCUGCUAGAGACAGUUGCAGCAGCUCUGGUCAUAAUCCAUGCUGUCAGUGAUGUGUAGGAAAUAUCAAUUUUUACGGGAGUUAGAAAAGUCUUGCUUCUUCGAUGAUUAUCCAAAGAUAGGUUUGGAACUUAUUUCUUUAGAAAAUGUAAAUCUUCAUGUAUAUAUAUGAAUCUCCAACAAUCCCUACUUUCUUUAAAAUGAAAGUAUUAACUUUAAAUCAAUUACAUAAAUUCCUUAUUCCACUCGCUUUCAAAUGAAAGUAUUCUUAUAGAAUAGAUAUUAACUUUAAAUACUUUAUCAAAUAUUCCACCACUAAAACUCAAUGGCAAAAACAAUGAAGGAUAGAAAAUAAAAAAUAAAAAAUAAAAUUAUUUUAUAUAAAAUGAAAUAAAAAUACCUUUGAACCUCUUCAUGUAUAUAGGUACCGUUUGGAGUUAUUUACGACUGAUUUCUUCAAUGUUGUCUAGAAUAUAUACUAGAGAUAGCUCAAAUACUCACAAUCAUACACAAAGAAAGAGGAGCGAUAUACCAUCUUCUUACUUGCAAAAUGGGGAUUGGUAGUUGAAAAUUUUAUUAUUAUUAAUCUACCAUUUCCAAAGUGAAACCAUCAAAACUUUCUAAAUUUGAAUUUCUUGUUAAUAAAGUUUGAUAGAAGAUAAGCAAAAUAAAAUUAUAAGGUAUAAUAUAAGUACUUUUUAAUAAUAAUAAUAAUAAUAAUAAUAAUAACAUUAUUAUUAUUAUUAUUAUAGUUAUGGAUUUCCUUAAUAUAAUACAUUAGAUGUUCUUUAAGUAAAGGAAUAUUGUUAUUGCUUUUAUAAUAAUAUAUAAGAACAUUAGAAAAAAAUAGUUAAUGACAAAUUUAAUAAUCAUAAUUUAAUAUUUAAAACUACCAUCAACAAUAAUGAGAUUCGACAUCUAUAGAUUUUAGAGGAUUUAUAAUAUAAUCUUGUAAGAUUUACAUGUUUAAUUUACAUGAGCAAAUUACUAAUAAAUUAUUUAGUCCAAUAAAUCGCAAUAGAUGUGAUAUUUUAUUUGAAAAUAACUUUUAAAGUUUAAUACAUUAACUAGAUAAUAUUUGAAAAUAACAUUUAAAUUUUUUUAUAUAAUUAGUGUUGGUUUAAUUUUGUAAAAUAAAUUAACCUUAGUCUUUAAUUAUUUUCAUUAUCAAAGAGUCAAAAAUAAUGUGAAACUAAAAAUUUUAAAAAAAGGUUAAUUAAUACUACAGUUUUUUUUUGUUUUCUUUUUGGACUAAAAUUAUUCAUAUUUGCAACAUGAAAAACCAUAUCCUUGAGUAAAAAAUAUAUAUAUAUAUAUAUAUUACACAAUGUGUAUUGAACCAAACCAAAAAUAUAAAAUAUAAAACUUUGAAUAUACCUCCAUUUUUUUUUAUUUUUUUUUUUAGAAACAGAAAUAAAAAAGCUCUAUUUUUUUUUUAACUGUUUUCUUUUUUCAAAGUCUAAACAAAUAUUUUUUGUUUGUGCUAUAUAUUUGAAAACUAAAAUUUCCAUAAAAUUUUAUCAAAACUUUAAACAAGUAAUCAAUAUAAAAAGAUUAAUUUAAUCACUCAUAUUUCUAGUCAUUAAACUAAACAUUGUCAUCAACAAGUAUUUAACAUUUAUAUAACCUUGCUAAUCAAAAACAUAAAUAUGAUUUUUCUUAAUAUAUAUAUAUAUAUAUAUAUAUAUAUAUAUAUAUAUAUAUAUAUAUAUAUAUAUAUAUAUAUAUAUAUUAAUCAUUAUUUGGUUGCAUAGGAAUUUUAAGAAAUUUAAUUAUUUUACUAAGAAAUUCAUCAUGAAGCUUAAUUUGUAAAGUUACAAAAAAAGUCCAUGAAAUGGAGCUUUUUGUUGGAAGUUGAUAGCGUGGAAAUGAUGUCUCUGCUACUAAUGGGUUUGCAGUCCCUGUUUUUGCCAUGAGCCAUGUGCUCAUGUUUGUAUUGUGGGCUCUGGUUGCUGCUAUUCCUUGUCAGGACAGGGGCCUCCAGAUUCAUUGUUCAGUCCCCCGACGUUCCUCAUGGAGUGCUCCAUUUAUCUUGCUUCAAGAGAGAAUUAUGGAGGAUUCAAAGAAGCGGGAGCGACGGAAUUCUAGCGGGUUGUUGAAGGAGAUCAAUCAGAUGGAAAGGUGUGCGUCUCACAUGACAGACUUAGUGGAUUCUGUUCACUUUCCUCUGACGGAUGAACAUAAGACAGAAGCAGGACAGCAAGAGCAGUGAUGAGGUUUUCCACCUGGUCUGGUUCCUGCUCCGGGUUGAAAGUGCUGUCCCCAUAUUCAUCAGAGGAGGUGCAUGGCAAGGAUUCUGAAGAAGCAAGCCAAGUUACUGUUUGGCUUCUUAUGCCAUCUGAUCAGAUAAGAUGUGUUAUUGGGAAAGGUGGACAGACAAUUCAGAGUAUACGCAGUGAAAGUGGUGUACAAAUUCACAUUCUAAAGGAUGAUCACUUACCUUCUUGUGCAUUGAGUUCCGAUGAGCUUGUUCAGAUUUCUGGAGAACCCUCCCUUGUUAGGAAGGCUCUUUAUCAAAUGGCAUCUCGUCUUCAUGACAAUCCUUCCCGAUCUUGAAAACCUCGUCAACGAGCAGGUGUCUUCACAAACAUACUCCUUGGAUGCAAAUCUUUGCCUUCUCCGCCUCUACCAAUUUGAGCCAGAGCGAAUGAGUACCCAAAUCGUUGCUCAGAUUUUGGUGAAGGCCCUUAUGGCAAUGCCAGCUCCAGAUUUCAGCCUGUCUCUUUUUAAUUCCAGAACGAGUGCAAAUGGAGGAAUAGUUUUAAGACUUCGAUUGUUCUCUCACAUUAUUUGGAGACAGCAAGGUUCCGUCAGUUCUGGGAUGAAGCAGCUAAGAAUUGACACAUAGUUGAAGUUGUUCCAGGUUUUGAGCAAGAAUCCAAGCCUAUGCCAUUCACGUUAUUUCCUUGACUUAUCAAAAGGUUCCUAGGACUGUAUUUGCUGUUAUCAUUGGUGGAGUUCUUGAGAAGGAGGUGAGAACUGCAACACUAAAAGAACCCUCAGGCCAUCAGGAGCCCGCAUGGUGUUUUUCCACUGAAGAUGAGCUACCAUCUAGAGUCCAGAACCUCACCCCUUGCUUUCUGUCAUCACAUAAAUCCUCGUACCCCACUCUUGCAUGUCAUAUAUGGCCACCUUUCGUGGGCCAUUCUUAAAACCUACGUGUCCUACCUCCUAUAUUUUUAUGCAUGCCUCCAAAACUCGGUUUUCAAAAAUCCUGUUUCCAAAUAAUUUUAAUUCUUCAAUUUUUCUCUCUUGGUUUUAAAUAAAUCCAAUUUUAAUAAACCAAUUCCUACCAUUUUCCAUUAGGCAUGCAUCUUUUAUUUUUUUUUUAUUUUUUUUAUUUUUUUUUCUUAAUUUUAAAUAUUUUCUAUUUUUUAAUAAAAUUGGUUGCCACAUUUCUUUCCAACAAACACUUUUCACAAAUUCUCCUUGAUUUUUUUAAUAAUUUUCUUAUUUUCAUUUUUUUUAAUAAGCAUGAAUAAUUCUAUAAUUUCAAGUAAUGAAAUUUAUGAAGUUAACUCAUGCUAAAAUAAAUCGAGCUUUGGUGGGGCCCAACAUAUGGGAUUUUCUCAUUGAUCGAUUGAUUGCUAUGUUUAACUGGCUUGCCUCACUCUAUGGCAUGCAUACAAUCAUCUUGUAUUUGUGUACUAACCUUGUCUCUUAUGAUAGUACUUAGCUUACGAUUAAGGUACACCUCAUACCCGAUUGUGUUUAUUUAUUUAUUUGUUAUCAUGUGUGUCUUGUUUUCACACCCCUGAUUACUGUACGAUAUCAACAAUUAAUCAAUCAAUUGUCACACUUGUUUCACCUAAUUAGUAGAGACCCAUUUUAGGAGCUUAGAAGGGUGGUACGGUUUUUAUCGUAACUUCCCAAUAGGUAACCUGACCUCCGAAUUCAGACUCGAUUUUUCAUAGAUCUGUUUUUCCUUCAGGAGUCACAUUUAGGGUUUUCUUUCUUAUUUUAUUUUUCCUUUUAAAAAUAAAACAAAAAUAAGUGACGACUCUAAGUUAUUUUCUAAAAAAUAAAUCAUUUUUCGAAAUAAAAAGCGAGUCUCACCAUUUAAGUGGGAAACGCAUGCGUGUAGAAAUACGGGGUUCACAAAGGUAUAAUAUACGUACUUUUUAAUAAUAAUAAUAAUAACAACAUUAUUGUUAUUAUUAUUAUAGUUAUGGAUUUCCUUAAUAUAAUACGUUAGAUGCUCUUUAAGUAAAGGAAUAUUGUUAUUGCUUUUAUAAUAAUAUAUAAGAACAUUAGAGAAAAAACAGUUAGUAAUGUAUUUAUUGACAAAUUUAGUAAAUAUAAUUUAACAUUUACAACUACCAUCAAUAAGAAUGAGAUUCGACAUCUAUAGAAUUUAGAGGAUUUAUAACAUAAUCUUGUUAGAUUUAUAUGUUUAAUUUACAGUGAGCAAAUUACUAAUAAAUUAUUUAGUCCAGUAAAUUGCAAUAGAUGUGAUAUUUUAUAUGAAAAUAAUUUUUACGGAUUAAUACAUUAACUAUAUAAUAUUUGAAAAGAACAUUUAAAUUUUUUUAUAUAAUGAGUGUAGGGUUAAUUUUGUAAAAUAAAUUAGCCUUAGUCUUUAAUUAUUUUCAUUAUCAAAGAGUUAAAAAUAAUGUGAAACUGAUAAAAAACUAAACACACACAAAAAAGGUUAAUUAAUACUACAGUUUUUUCUUUUCUUUUUUUCUUUUUGGACUAAAAUUAUCCAUAUUUGCAGCAUGAAAAACCAUAUCCUUGAGUAAAAAAAAAUAAAAAAUUACACAAUGUAUAUUGAACCAAACCAGAAAUAUAAAUAUCCAUAUUUGCAGCAUGAAAAACCAUAUCCUUGAGUAAAAAUAAAAAAAUACUAACAAUGUGUAUUGACUGGCUUCACCUCCUAGGACAUCUUUCCCCGAAAAAAGGUCGUUGCUCACUAAUUACUUAACAGACGUUAAGAUCACUCACAGCUCUCACUGGUCUCACCGGUGUAACGGCUACUGCUUGCUGCUGUACUUCAGAAGCUGUCGCACUUCUAAAGUUAUAUAGGUAGUUUGUUAGACUUUGUUAGAAUAGUUAGACUGUUACACAGUGGAAAAUUCUACGGCACCGAAGUGGGUAGCGCAGCUGCAAAAUUCUUGUCGUUGGAUCAAAAGCCUCUAAUCAAGACUGAAUGCCUUUGCACCACUUAGCUGGACUGCACCAUUCGUAUUGCCUAUUCUUGAAUACACUUUGCUUGACCAACUUUUCAGGUUUCUUUCUCGGUUUUGGCAGGACUGCACUGUUGUUGCCCCUGCUUGCCCUCCAUGACCCACUUUUUUCCAAGGAGGUGGUUUCCCACCAAUUUCUUUCUUCUUGAAUACACCUUUAGAUCGUCAUAUGCUGACAGCUCUUCACUGCACCAGGCUUGACCCGAGGUUAGCUCUUUUGUCCUUUUGGAAAACUGCACCGCACUGUCCCUUCUUGACCGGCUCAACCCACUUCUCCGAAAGAGGUUGAGGGUGUCUUGUCCCUUUAGGGAUCACCACAUAGGGUUUACCCAGCAAUUACUUUGUUCUUUCUUCAUUCUUCCUACAUUUCUCCAAUUCCAUUAUGACAUGCAGAUGCUUGUUGCAUUGUUUUGAGUGUGUCCAGCUGGAGACAGUUGCAGCAGCUCUGGUCAUAAUCCAUGCUUUCAGUCAUGUGUAGGAAAUAUCAAACUUUAUGUUUGGUCAUGCAGAAAAUGACACCUGAAUUAUAAUUUUUAUGGGAGUUUGAAAAGUCUCGCUUCUUUGAUGAUUAUCCAAAGAUUCAAUCAUGAAAUGCGGAAAAUGUAAAUUCAUGUAUAUAGGUUUGAAACUUAUUUCUUUAGAAAAUGUAAAUCUUCAUGUGUAUAUGAAUCUCCUACAUUCCCUAAUUUCAAACCCAUAUCAAUGGUGUGUGUACCCCAUUUAUAUUUAUUACAACCAUCGGUUAUAUAUAUCACAUUCAAAACACCCACAAUCAUAUACAAAGAAUUUUAGCAAAUUUUUGGUUGCAAAAUGGGGAUUGGUAGUUGAAAAUUUUAUUAUUAUUGAUUAUUAUUUCAUUAGAGGGUUGUCAAAUUUCUUGUUAAUAAAGUUUCACAAAAGAACAGAAAAUAAAAUUACAAGGUAUAAUAUAUGUACUUUUUAAUAAUAAUAAUAAUAAUAUUAUUUGUAUUUUGUCUAUCAUUAUAUAUAUAUAUAUAUUGAUAAUUUAUUUAAAGUUAUAAAUUUGUUAAUAUUAUUACAUAGUUAUGGAUUUCUUUAAUAUAAUAUGCUAGAUGCUCUUUUGAGUAAAGGAAUAUUGUUAUUGCUUUUAUAAUAAUAUAUAAGAACAUUAGAAAAAAACAGUUAAUGAUGUAUUUUUUUGGCAAAUUUAAUAAUCAUAAUUUCAUAUUUGAAACUACCAAUAACAUAAUGAGAUUCGACAUCUAUAAAAUUUACAGGAUUUAUAACAUAGUCUAAUUAGAUUUAUAUGUUUAAUUUACAUGAACAAAUUAAAAAUAAAUUAUUUAGUUGAGUAAAUUACAAUAGAUAUGAUAUUUUAUAUCAAAAGAUAAUUUUUACUGAUGAAUACUUUAAAUAUAUAAUAUGGGAAAAGAUCAUUGAAAAGUAUUAAUAAACUGAGGUGGUGUUUGUUUUUUUACUUAAUUCUAAAUAGAACCUUAAUGCUUAAUAGUGUCAAAUAUUAGAUUGUUUGUUUUUGUAGUAUUUUAUUUCUAUUAAGUAUUAAAAAAAUAAAAAUAAAAACAAUAUGUUAUUUUUUCUAUUUAGAAAAAGCUACAUAUUUUAACUUUUUCUAUUUAGUAAAAAGUUUAUAAUAAGUCAUGAAAAAUAGAAAAAUAAACAACCUAAAUUCUAAAACUAAAUUGUUUUCAGCAAAAAGCCAAAAAAAACAAACACCACCUGAGUGUAGGGUUAAUUUUGUAAAAUAAAUUAUCUUUAGUCUUUAAUGACUUUCAUUAUCAAUGAGUUAAAUUAAAUUCAAUACAUUGAACUAUCAUACCAAAUGCUUUUCACUUUGAUUGAUUUAGCAAUUAUUAUAAAGCUUAUAAUUUUUAGAAAAUAAGAAAAUAAAUCUUAAAAAUCAUUCACAUAAGGUAGACAGCUCUAUUUGCAAGUGGAACUUUGUCUACUGUGGCAUGAGGACUACGGCACCAUGAUUGCCCACUCUUCAGUGCACCAGGCUUGACCCGGGUAGCUCUUUUGUCCCUUUUGGAAAACUGCACCGUAACUAUUGCCCCUUCUUGUCCGGCUUAACCCACUUCUCCAAAAGCGGUUGAGGGUGUUCUUGUCACUUUAGGGACCACUACACAGGGGUUACCCAACAAUUACUUUAAUAUGUCUAACGAGAGACAGUUGCAGCAGCUCUAGUCAUAAUCCAUGCAUUCUAUGAGGUGUAGGAAAUACCAAACUUUGUGUUUGCUCAUGCAGAAAAUGACUCUGGAUUUAUAAUUUUUAUGGGAGUUGGAAAAGUCUUUGCUUCUUUGAUCCAUGAUUAUCCAAUGAUUCAAUCAGGACAAGCAGAAAAUGUAAAUCUUCAUGUAUAUAGGUUUGCCAGUUAUUUCUUCAAAAAAUAUAAAUAUUCAUGUAUAUAUGAAUCUCCAACAAGCCCUAAUUUCACCCCUAUAAAUUCGAUAUUUCACUCCUAUAAUUUGUGUCAUGCUUCCAUAUUAUAUUACUCUUCUCCAAUAAUCGUUGAAUCUGCUUUAUUAAUUCUACUCCAAUAUCUCUUAAUUUCGCUUUCAAGGACAAAGUUAUAAAUCUUCUAUUCUAUUAAUUUAUAUCAUGAUCUAAUUGCUUUGUGUCCUUAGUCACAUUGCUUUGUACCCUUGAUCACAUUGCUUUGUAGAGAGGUUUCAUUUCUUCAUGUUUUUGUCCCAAUUGGUUGAUCGUACCAUAGUUCCUUUUGCUUUGCAUCCCCAUUGUUACAAAAUCAAAUAAAUAAGUUAUACUCAACUCUCAAUGGUGUGCACCCAAUUCAUUUGUAUUACAACGUACCAUAUGCUAUAUAUCACAUUCAAAUGGAAGUAUUCUUAUAGAAUUGAUAUUGAUGUUAAACACUUGACCAAAUGUUUCAUUAUUUAGACCAAAGCUCAAUGGCAAAAACAAUGAAGGAUAAAUCAUUAGAUAAGGUAGACUUUAGGAUUUUAAUUGAGCUAAAAUAUUUUUAUUAGAUUAUUAAAAACCGGAUGCAUGCUCAAACCUAGCGCUUAAUUAAGUACUCAAAUUUAGGCUCAAGCGUUUGAGAGCACUCAAGCACGAGAAGCACUCUAGUAUUUGAGCGUUUGAAGUCGAUCUUUCCAAAUUUGAAUUCCCAAUUUUGUUUUAAUUCUUUUCAUGUUUUAAGAAUUGGUUUUUGGAAACUUUAGGUGUCAAUCCACUAGGGUUUCAUCCUUGUAUAAAUAUUAUGUCUAGGAAUUGUUUUCGUUAUUGAUGGAAAUUUGAAAAAAAGAUUAUCAGCCUUUAUGGAUUCUAAAACUCCUAGGUUUUUGUAAUUCUCAUUCUUUCAGUUCGUGAGAGAGAUCUGCAUCCCUUUAGGUGUUGAGAUAAUCCAUUGAUUGCAUGUGUGGUGUUGUGUUACGAAUUUGAAAACUAGUAUAUGUAUUGAAGAAUAAAACUUAAGGAUAACAUGCACCAUAUAAAUUUGUAUAUUUUUCUUUUGAAAGAAGAUUUGUGUUUUGUAGUCUUUAAUCCUAUGGGUUUUAUAUCUGUAUAUUUACAAUGAUAUAGAUAAGGAAUGAUAAAUAUUUGUUCAUAUAUAUAUAUUAGAUUAUUAAGGUAGAGAAUUCCAAGCACAAGGUUAAGGAAUUAAUAAGUUUGAGUCAAAUUAGAUGUAAUUACAUUGAAGUUGUUAAAACGAUUUAUUAAAUUAUUAAACAGAUUACAUUAGAUUGAAUUAUCUAGAAAAAGAGUAGCACGGGAAAAGUGUGACUACCAAGUCAAUAACCAAUGUUUUUGCACCACUUUAAUAAGUGAACUGUACCAUAUGGUUAUCAUUCUGGAUGGGACUACAUUGAAGCCCUUUUUCACCUCCUAGGACAUAUUUUUCCAGAAAAAGUUGUUGCUCACGAAUUACUUGAUAGACGUUAAGAUCACUCACAGCUUCUCACUGGUCUCACUGGUGUAACGGCUGCUGCUUGCUGCUGUACUUCAGAAGUUGUUGCACUUCUAAAGUUAGGUAGUUUGUUAGACUUUGUUAGAUUAGUUAGGCUGUUACACAAUGGAAAAUUCUGUUGUACGGACGUGGGUACGGUACCAGCAAAAUUCCCGUUUUUGGAUCAGAAGCUUCCAAUCAAGACUGAAUGCCUUUGCACCACUUAGCUGGACUGCAUCAUCGUAUUGCCUCUUCUUGAAUACGCUUUGCUUGAUCAACUUGCCCCUGCUUGCCCUCCAUGACCCACUUUUUUCCAAGGAGGUGAUAACCCACUCUUCACUGCACCAUGCUUCACCCGAGGUUAGCUCUUUUGUCCUUUUGGAAAACUGCACCGCAGCUGUCCCUUCUUGACCGGCUCAACCCACGUCUCCAAAAGAGGUUGAGGGUUAGGGAUCACCACACAGGGUUUACCCACCAAUUACUUUGUUCUUUCUUCAUUCUUCCUACAUUUCUCCAAUUGCAUUAUGAAAUGCAAAUGCUUGUUGCAUUGUUUCGAGUGUGUCCAGCUAGAGACAGUUGCAGCAGCUCUGGUCAUAAUCCAUGCUUUCAGUGAUGUGCAGGAAACAUCAAACUUUAUAUUUGGUCAUGCAGAAAAUGACACCUGAAUUAUAAUUUUUAUGGGAGUUAGAAAAGUCUUGCUUCUUUGAUGAUUAUCCAAAGAUUCAAUCAUGAAAUGCAGAAAAUGUAAACUUCAUGUAUAUAGGUUUCGAACUUAUUUCUUUAGAAAAUGUAAAUUUUUAUGUGUAUAUAUGAAUCUCCAACAAUCCCUAAUUUCACACCCAUAUCAAUGGUGUGCGUACCCCAUUCAUAUGUAUUACAAUCAUCUGCUAUAUAUAUCACAUUCAAACAAAAGUAUGCUUAUAGAAUUGAUAUUGAAUUUAAAUACUUGAUAAAAUUAAUAUUCCAUUACUUAAAUCAAAACUCAAUGGCAGAAACAAUGAAGGAUAGAAAUUAAAAAAGAAAUAAAAUUAUUUUACAUAAAACGAAAUAAAAAUACCUUUUGAAGCUCUUCAUGUAGAUAGGUUUGGAGCUUAUUUAUUGCUUCUUCAUUGACAGAUUUCUUCCAUGUUGUCUAGAAUAUAUACCAAAGAUAGCUCGAAACAUCCACAAUCAUAUACAAAGAAAGAGGAGAAAUAUGACAUCUUUUAGCAAAUAUUUACUUGCAAAAUGGGGAUUAGUAGUUGAAAAUUUUAUUAUUAUUGAGCUACCAUUUCCAAGUAAACUCAUCAAAACCUCCUAAUUACAAGGUAGUAGCUGUUGGGGUGUUCUCUUGAAAUAUAAAAUUCCAUAUAGACUCUUGAACACUUAAAUGUAUAGCAAAAAUUUAAAUGGUUUCAGAAAUAUUUUCGGUUUAAAAAAAAAAAACUAACACGCUUACUUUUGGUUUUAUUUUUAAUGGUUCGAUUGCCUUGAUUUUUAAAUCAUAUAAUAAAUUUAUUUUUGAAAAAUGAAAUGUCUUUACCCUAAUAAUUAUUUAUAAAAUUUUCUGAAGGGCAGCUUUUUGAAAAAAUUUCAAGUCCUUCACCAAUCCUCUUUUUCCACAAGUAAUGUUACAUUCUAGAUUUGGCUAUAUUUUUAUCUGCUUCUUCAAUAUAUUUGAUAGAGAAGUUAUAUACAAAUUAUCACACACUCUCUCUAUUUAAAUUGAUUGAAAAAAGUGGACCAAAAAAAGUAUCAUUUGCCUUUCUAAAUUGACAUAACCAAUAGUAUAGCGUCGCUCUAAUGAAAUGAUAAAUCAUUUGUUAUGAUGUGAUAUAGAUAUGAAAUGAUAAAUCUUUUGUUCAAAUAUAAAUUAGGUUGUUUUGUUUGAAUUAACAAUUUUGUUCUAUUCAUCUUGACUUAGCAAUUAUUUACUUGACUUUUCUUACUCUCUAUUGAAGAUUCAAAAUUGUUGUAUCAUCAACCCAAAAUUAAACAAGUAUAGAGAGAUUCAAAAAAGGCUAAUUAGGAUAAAUUAUGAGAUAAAAUUGGCUUUAGGUUUUUAAUUAAGCUAAAAUAUUUUUAAAUAGAUUAUUAAAAACUAGACCAACACUCAAACCUAGUGCUCAAGCACUUUAAGAACACCCAAGCGUUUGAAGCAAAUUUUUCCAAAUUUGAAUUCUUGAUUUUGUUUUAAUGAUAGGUGUCCGUCCACUAAGGUUUCAUCUCUAUAUAAAUAUUGUGCCUAAAAAUCAUUUUGGUUAUUGAUGCGAAUUUCAUAAAAAGAUUAUUAGCCUUUACUACAUCCCAAUAUUCCCAUAUUUUUGUGAGUCUCAUUCUUUGGGUUGGUGAGAGAGAUCUGUAUCCCUUCAAGUGUUAAGGUAGUCCACUUGGUGCAGAUAUGAUCUUGCAUUUUGGACUUAAAAACUAGUAUAUAUAUUAGAAAUUAAAACUUAGGGAGAACAUUUGCCAUGUAAAUUUGUAUACUUUUCUUCUAAUAAUGGGCUUCUGCUCUAUAGUCUCUUACCAUGUGAUUUUUUUUACAUUUAUAUGGUAUUUGGGAGAUUUUAUGGGUGGUUUUUCAUGUAAAAAUUGUUGGUUUCUUUUUCUUUUUUUUCUAAUUAUUAAAGAGGAAUUAAAAAAAAAUUGUAUUAAAAAGAAGAUAAUACGAUUUACCCCGUAGGUGUUUCGUAAUUGAAAUAUACAAACUUUUAAAAUGUCAUACAUUUAACUUAUAAAAUGUGGAGAAGAUUUCUAGUGUAUAAUUAAUAUAGAGAAUUCCAAGCAUAAGGUUAAUGGAUUUAGAUUGAGUGCAAUCAUCUUGAGUUGUAAUUAUAUCAAAGUUGUUAAAGUAAUCCAUUAAAUUAAUUAUUAAAUAGGUCACAAUCUUCUAAACAAGGAGUAACAUAGGAAAGAGAUUGCCAAGUCAAUAACCAAUGCUUUUGAACCACUUAGAUAGUUCCAUGGUUGUCACUCUCGGUGGGACUGCACUUGAAGCCCUUUUCCACUUCCUCACACACUUCUUCCAAGAAGGUUGCUACCCACCAAUUACUCUCCCUUAACCCCUGCUUUGUUGAACCACAUCCUCUCCUUCAACCUUUAUCAACAACCUUUUUUUCUUGUUCUCUCCAAGGAAAGAUGCAUCUCUUUUCACCUUAUGUUUCAGUGUUUGCUUUGGUGCAUUAUUGGGUGGCUUGCUUCACUCCCAUGGUAUUCUCCAUCAAUUUAGUUGAUGACUUUGCUCUUGUUGCCUUGAAAGCCCAUAUCACAUAUGAUUCCCAAAGCAUUUUGGCAACAAAUUGGUCAACCAAAAGCCCCCAUUGCUGUUGGUAUGGUAUUUCUUGCAAUGCUGCUCAACAAAGAGUUUCUGUAAUCAAUCUUUCUAACAUGGGUCUUGAAGGAACUAUUGCACCACAAGUUGGCAACCUCUCCUUUCUUGUUUCUCUUAAUCUUAGUAAUAACUACUUUCAUGCCUCUCUUCCUAAGGAUAUUGGUAAGAUUCUCAUAAUUUUUCUCUAUUUUACAAGUCAAUACUCAUAUUUCCUGCUUCAAUAUAUAACAUCAAUAAGAUUGAGAUUAUCAUAAUUUUUAGCUUUCAACCAUGAUGAGAUAGUUGAGUAAUUGAUAAAUUAUAGUUUAAAAAAUAAUAAUUAAAUAUUUGUUAAAUUGGAUAAUAUGGAAUGAUAAAAGUUUAACUUAUUCUCUUUAUUUUGAUAUAAGAUUCAUUUUAAUUAAAUAAAUCAUUAUAGGAUUUAAAAAUGAGUUGUAUUUUUUUUUCAUUUCUUAAAAAUUAUUUUCUUCUUUCUAUUUUUACUGAAUUCAAGUAAACAUAAUCAUUACAAUUGUAAUAAUUUUUUAUUUUAAAUUUUAGAAUGGGUAAUACCCACAAAUUAGAUUAAAUAAAUAUAACAAUAAUAAAAAGUUUCAACUAACAAAAUGUUUUUCUUUUAAAGUUACAAAAUUAAAUAAUUUAUUUAUGGUAACAUUUUUCAUUUGAUAGAUAAUUUUGAAUAUUGAAAAUUUUGAUCCAAAAAGUUAAAUUAUUGAAAAAGAAAAACAUAAUUUAAGUAAUAUAUUAUAAAUUAAAUGUAAUAAAAUAUUUCAUAGAUAUCAAAUAAUUUCAUAUAUAUAUAUAUAUAACUAAAUUUAAUUUAAUAUAAUAUAUUUAAAGCUACAAUACAAUAUUUAUUUGUAACAAAAAAUAGUGGAUAUUUUUGUUAUUAAUAUUUCUUAUAAAAAAUAAAAAUAAAAUGUCAAUUAGUUAAUUAUAUUCUAUCUAAUACUUGACAUUUGUGUUAAGUGCAUGGUUAAUUUCACAAACUAUUUGAUAAUAUAUUAUAGAGUAAUAAACAUUAUUGUACACAAUUCAAACCGUCAUGUAAGUUGCAAAUUGUAUUCAAUCAAACCAAAAUGCUCUACCUAAAUGCUUGGCAACCAUCAACAUGUGAUUCAUGAUAAGUUUUUCUCAAUAUUAGUGCCUCUUUCAAAUAUUAUCGUGAUAUUUGAUUUCGAGAAAGUACUAAGAAAAAAAAUAAAGAAAAUAAUUUUUUAUAUUUGAUUUUACUAUGAAAAAAAUCAAAUAUAAUUAAUUAAAACUUAUCUAUUUUAAAAUUAUUUAAUCUUUAUAUAAAUGAAUUAAAACAAGUUAAAUAUGUUUAAAGUAGCACGUAAAUAAUCUAUUGACUUUAAAUCUAUUUUUUUCUUUACUUUUAUUUUUACUCUUUCUUUUAUAUAUAUGAGGGAAAGAAAAUAAAAAGGAAACUUAGAAGAAGAAAAAGCAAAGAAAAAAAAAAGAUUUAAAUUGAAUAAAUUAAAUUUUAUAUGUUCCUUCAAAUUCAUUUAAAAUUAAAAAUAGAUUUAAAGUUAAUAAAUUGAUUUUAUAUCUUUCUUCAAAUUCAUUUACUUAUUUUAAUUCUUCUAUAUAAAAAUUUAAUAAUUUAAAAAUGCAUACAUUUUUUAUUAAUUUUAAUUAUUUUUUUUUUCCAAUUUUCUAUAGUAAAACCAUUGGGAGAAGAUAAUUUUCCUUUAAUAUUUUUUUUCUUUCUUUUAUUAUCUUCUACAACCAAACAUAGCCUAUAGGUUCAUGAUAAUCUUUUUUUUUCUUUAAUUUUAUUUUUGCUCUUUCUUUUUUAUAAUUUUUUUUUUGUCUAUUUUGUUUUCCUCGUAUUUUCUUGUAAGCAAGCAAAAUCUUUGACUAUGUUUGGUUCCCAAAAAAAUAAGAGGGAAAGAAAAUAAAAAGGAAACUUAGAAGAAGAAAAAAGUAAAGAAAAAUAAAAAAUAAAAAAAUAAAAAAGAUUUAAAUUUAAUAGAUUAAAUUUUAUAUGUUUCUUCAAAUUCAUUUAAAUUUAAAAAAUAGAUUUAAAGUUAAUAAAUUGAUUUUAUAUGUUUCUUCUAAUUCAUUACUUAUUUUAAUUCCUUGAUAUAAAAAUUUAAUAAUUUUAAAAUGCAUUCAUUUUAAUUAAUUUUAAUUAUAUUUUAUAUUUUUCCUAUUUUCUAUGGUAAAACCAUUGGGAGAAAAUAAUUUUCCUUUAAUAUUUUUUUUUUCUUUCUUUUGUUAUCUUUUAUAACCAAACAUAGUCUAUAUGUUAAUAAUAAUAAUAUUUCAAAUCUUUUUUUAUUUUAGGUAAUGCAAGGAGCUUCAACAGCUGAAUUUAUUCAAUAAUAAACUGGUUGGAAGCAUUCCAGAAGCCAUUUGUAAUUUACCAAAACUUGAAGAGCUAUAUCUUGGCAAUAAUCAGUUAAUUGGUGAAAUUCCAAAGAAGAUGAGUCAUCUUCGUAAUCUGAAGAUAUUGUCAUUUCGAAUGAACAACUUAACAGGUUCCAUACCAGCCACCAUUUUCAACAUAUCUUCUUUACUCAACAUUAGUCUGUCCUACAAUAGCCUCUCUGGGAGUCUUCCCAUGAAUAUAUGCAACACCAAUCCAAAGCUCAAGGAGCUUAAUCUUUCAUCAAAUCAUUUGAGUGGACAGAUCCCUAAUGGUUUAGGCCAAUGUAUAAAACUUCAAGUAAUUUCCUUAUCAUAUAAUGAAUUCACGGGAAGCAUACCAAGAGGAAUUGGUGAAUUGGUGGAGCUUCGGAGAUUGUCUCUCCAGAAUAACAGUUUGACAGGUACACUCUUUCUUUUCUUUUUUAUUUUUCCUUCUUAUUCUUUCACUUUCCCUCAAGCUUUCAAAGAUGUAAGCAUAGCGUUAAUGUUUUUCCAACCCACUCAUUUUAAUUGUGUUGCAGGAGAAAUGCCUCAUUCUCUGUUCAACAUUUCUAGCCUGAAGUUUCUGAAUCUGGAAGUAAAUAACCUAAAAGGUGAAAUCCCCUCUACUUUGUCACAUUGUCGAGAGCUCCAAAAGCUAUCAUUAUCAUUCAAUCAAUUCACUGGACGCAUUCCAGAAGCCAUAGGGAGUUUAUCUAAUCUGGAAGGAUUAUAUCUUGGUUAUAACAAAUUGGCAGGUGGAAUUCCUAAGGAGAUGGGGAAUCUUCGUAAUUUAAAUAUUUUGAGCCUAACUUCUAGUGGACUAAGUGGUCCUAUUCCUACCGAAAUUUUCAAUAUCUCUUCAUUGCAAGAGAUUCAUUUAAGUAAUAAUAGCUUUUCUGGGAGUCUUCCAAUGGAUAUCUGCGAACAUCUUCCUAAUCUCAAAGGGCUUUAUCUUGCUAUCAAUCAGCUCAGUGGUCAACUUCCUGCAACUAUAUCCUUAUGUAGGUAACUUCUGUCACUGUACCUAUUUUACAACAAAUUCACAGGAAGCACACCAAGAGAAAUUGGCAACUUAUCCAAGCUUGAACAGAUUUAUCUUGGGAGAAAUAGCUUCACAGGUACCAUUCCACCUUCAUUUGGUAAUUUAACUGCCUUACAGGAUCUUCAAUUGGGGGAAAACAAUAUUCAAGGUAAUAUCCCCAAGGAGUUGGGGAGUCUCAUCAACUUAAAAUUCUUGAAUCUUGGC
This 40063-nucleotide long non-coding RNA is filed under the name Vitis vinifera (wine grape). RNAcentral describes it as "long non-coding RNA (VVIN_LNC003671)". The record is from RNAcentral. Lineage: Eukaryota; Viridiplantae; Streptophyta; Magnoliopsida; Vitales; Vitaceae.